ACGCUGUCAAAUCGCCAUGAUGAAAAUCAACAGAGAAGAUUACAGAAGAAUUAAGGUAACCUACAUCUCUUUCCAAUUUCAGCUACCUCCAACACUCCACCAUGACGAGGACUCUGGCUAUUCUAGUACUCUUGUUUGGAGUGUCACUUGCUCUCUUCAAUGGUAUGAAUAGAAAUGGUUUGAACAACAAUGGGUUUAAUAAUAAUGGUUGGAACAACAAUGGUUGGAAUAACAAUGGUUGGAAUGGUUGGAAUAACAACGGUUGGAAUAACAAUGGCUGGAAUAAUAAUGGCAUGGGGAGAAUGAUGUACGGCUAGGAAAUUGGAGGGCACUGAUAGCAACCAAAUAAAGGGUUUUCUACAGAGACUUCAAAGUGUUCAAAAAGAUUAAUUUUGAAUAAAUUAUUCAAAUUUCUU
This is a long non-coding RNA of Saccostrea cuccullata (small rock oyster), 416 nucleotides long. RefSeq lists it as uncharacterized. Lineage: Eukaryota; Metazoa; Mollusca; Bivalvia; Ostreida; Ostreidae. The record is from RefSeq and is a predicted model, not a curated record. The transcript is spliced from 4 exons.